RNAcentral lists this ribosomal RNA (401 nucleotides) under uncultured bacterium. Its description in RNAcentral is "bacterial SSU rRNA". It matches the Rfam family "Bacterial small subunit ribosomal RNA", at positions 975 to 1375 of the family's 1533-position model. The record is from RNAcentral.
CUAGGCUUGACAUCCCUUAGACCGCUCCUUAACCGGAGCUUUCCCUUCGGGGACUGAGGUGACAGGUGGUGCAUGGUUGUCGUCAGCUCGUGUCGUGAGAUGUUGGGUUAAGUCCCGCAACGAGCGCAACCCUUGCCUUUAGUUGCCAUCAUUAAGUUGGGCACUCUAGAGGGACUGCCGAGGAUAACUCGGAGGAAGGUGGGGAUGACGUCAAAUCAUCAUGCCCCUUAUGCUUAGGGCUACACACGUGCUACAAUGGCUGGUACAGAGGGCUGCGAAACCGUGAGGUUAAGCCAAUCCCUUAAAGCCAGUCUCAGUUCGGAUUGUAGGCUGAAACUCGCCUACAUGAAGCUGGAGUUGCUAGUAAUCGCGGAUCAGAAUGCCGCGGUGAAUGCGUUCCC